AUUAGAUUUCAGAAGAGUUACAGGGUGUGUUGAGUUGUAGUGUCCCGUCCUCUCGGGUCGUUGGCCUGGGGUAGGAUAAGACAGGGUUAAAGUAGUGGAAUAAGGUGAUGGGUUUUAAUGAGUGUAGGGUGAGUUAAGGGUCAUUAAAUAUAUAUAUAUUUUUGAAUUUUUCACGUUUCCCCUUUACAAUUUUGUAUCACAAAGGUAAUGGAUUCAUACAAUAGUUCAGAGGGCGAUAAUGCAACAUAUUGGAUACCAACCGUCUUUAAACCUCACAGAAGCAGAAGCAGAAGAAGAAGAAUGCACCUGUUCUUUUGUGAUUGCUGCCCUGCCCACUAUUUAACUGGAAGGAGAACUAUUCCACACAAUUGUUUAUUCUUUUUCUUUGGUUGUUUUUUCCCAAAUCUUGGGGGACAAUUGUUGUUGCAACAUGGUUUGGUUUCUGAUUCUCAUCUGGUUUGUCCAAGGUAGGACCAGUCAUUUUGGUUAUGUGACAUCCUGCUCUUGAGUGUUUUCCAUUUGAGGUAGGCCAGGCCGGCCCCACUGCGGACGCCAAUUGGUUCACCAUGUUAUUAUCUAACGUGUAUUAUGUUCCCCUUGUGUAUUUCAGUGGGCGGUGUUCCCAUCACCAAUUUCACAAAUGCUACUACUUCAAAUGCUACUUUCCCUGCCACAGUGGACAAUUCUACAAAUGUGACUUUCACUGCCACAGGUUCUACUGCCUCAAUGGGGCCACAUCACAGACAAAAUGAUUGGGUUAAAAUGGCUGAAACCAGAGAAGGUAACACAUUCAUUAGAUGAAGUGCACUAUCCUGGACCUCUCAUGAGGUUUGGACUUUAUUAAUGGCACUGGAGGUAGUGACUUGUAACCAGGUCAUGUCAGUGUGGUUGUUUCACACCCUCUGUCCCUGUUACAGAGGAC
This is a long non-coding RNA of Oncorhynchus tshawytscha (Chinook salmon), 922 nucleotides long. Lineage: Eukaryota; Metazoa; Chordata; Actinopteri; Salmoniformes; Salmonidae. The record is from Ensembl.